GGAAUUGUGGCUCAGUGGUAGAGCGCUCGCCUAGGAUGAGCGGGACCCAGUUUGAUUCUCAGCACCA
This 67-nucleotide transfer RNA is filed under the name Marmota monax (woodchuck). RNAcentral's name for it is "tRNA.Pro". Lineage: Eukaryota; Metazoa; Chordata; Mammalia; Rodentia; Sciuridae. The record is from RNAcentral.